AUACGGAGGGUCCGAGCGUUAUCCGGAAUCAUUGGGUUUAAAGGGUCCGUAGGCGGGAAUCUAAGUCAGUGGUGAAAUCUUGCAGCUCAACUGUAAAAUUGCCAUUGAUACUGGAUUUCUUGAAUUAGUGUGAAGUGAUUAGAAUGUGUAGUGUAGCGGUGAAAUGCAUAGAUAUUACACAGAAUACCAAUUGCGAAGGCAGAUCACUAACACUAUAUUGACGCUGAGGGACGAAAGCGUGGGGAGCGAACAGGGUUAGAAACCCUAGUAGUCC
Molecule: ribosomal RNA, 274 nt
Filed under: uncultured bacterium
Lineage: Bacteria
Description: partial 16S ribosomal RNA
Rfam family: Bacterial small subunit ribosomal RNA
Source: RNAcentral